GUAUAAAUUAUUGAUCAAGCACGUAUCCCAUAUCAGCACAAAAGGAACAGCUCACAAUCCACCAUCUUUAGUGUUUAGCGUAAGGAAUGAUGUUUCUCUUCCCAAAUAAGUAGCAUCACCAAUUUCAUUUCAACUGUUGUAGCAUUAAUCGAAUGAAAAGUAAUACUGUUUACCUAGAGAAAAACGUUAGGAUUGAACAAUACAAGCAGCUGAAUCAAGAAAUUUUCUUUCCUUUUCUUUUUUUUU
Molecule: unclassified non-coding RNA, 246 nt
Filed under: Hevea brasiliensis (rubber tree)
Lineage: Eukaryota; Viridiplantae; Streptophyta; Magnoliopsida; Malpighiales; Euphorbiaceae
Source: RNAcentral